Molecule: ribosomal RNA, 117 nt
Filed under: Cephalotus follicularis
Lineage: Eukaryota; Viridiplantae; Streptophyta; Magnoliopsida; Oxalidales; Cephalotaceae
Source: RNAcentral
GGGUGCGAUCAUUUCAGCACUAAUGCACGGGAUUCCAUCAGAACUCGUAAGUUAAGCGUGCUUGGGUAAGAAUAGUUCUAAGAUGAGCUUGUCCUAUGACUUUCAUAGACACAGGCU